AAUGCUAUAAGUAAUGUGAAUUGCAGAAUUCAGUGAAUCAUCGAAUCUUUGAACGCACAUUGCGCCCGCCAGUAUUCUGGCGGGCAUGCCUGUUCGAGCGUCAUUUCAACCAUCAAGCCCCCGGGCUUGUGUUGGGGACCUGCGGCUGCCGCAGGCCCCGAAAACCAGUGGCGGGCUCGCUGUCACACCGGGCGUAGUAGAUUUUUCGUCUCGCCCAGGGCGUGCUGCGGGUUCCGGCCGUUAAAAAGCCUCUCUUUUAACCCAAGGUUGACCUCGGAUCAGGUAGGAAGACCCGCUGAACUUAAGC
Molecule: unclassified non-coding RNA, 307 nt
Filed under: plant metagenome
Description: partial contains 5.8S ribosomal RNA, internal transcribed spacer 2, and large subunit ribosomal RNA
Rfam family: 5.8S ribosomal RNA (bases 1-103)
Source: RNAcentral